This 38756-nucleotide long non-coding RNA is filed under the name Eucalyptus grandis. RNAcentral's name for it is "long non-coding RNA (EGRA_LNC001142)". The record is from RNAcentral. Lineage: Eukaryota; Viridiplantae; Streptophyta; Magnoliopsida; Myrtales; Myrtaceae.
GCGAAUUUCUUGGGUCCUUCAAGGUAUCCGGGGAUCUCUGCUGGGAAUUUGUGAUUUUUUUGGUCGGAUGAAUUCAGUUCGCAUCAUAUACGGAUUACUUGGAUCUUUUCCAGGUAUUUGACCUUUUGGAAACAGAUUUUCAAAUGCUUCAGCUCGAAAAAAAGAAGGCUUUUAAGUGAAAAGGCAGUCAAAGAUUGAACUGGGUGUUUCUUGUUUGCUUCUCAGAGAAGUGACAAUCACGAGGACGGUCAAAUUUCGUGCUUUCAAGCUUGAUAGAUCUCUAAAUCUAGGAUUCUAAAUCUAAGACCUUGCACUUAAGCCUUGCUUAUUUAAAUGAAUUCGGCAGGAGUUGGGAACUGAGUACCAAGUCAGGCCUGUGGGUCGUCCUGAGGAUGAGGAGGAUGCAAGUGAUUUCGAGCCUGAGGAGAAUGGCGAGGAGGAAGACGCUGACGAAGAGGACGAGGAUGAAGACGAGGACGAUGCUGGUGGUAAGGUCGAGGCUCCACCGAAGAGGAAGCGAUCAGACAAGGACAACUCUGACGACGACAAGGAUGAUGAGAGACCUGCCAAGCGAUAGGCCCAAAGGCUCUUCUCCUUCGUGGGAGAAAAUAUUGGGUACGUCUUAUGUAGCCAGCGUGGCAAACAAGAAGGCGGUGGGAGCGCGACACGUGUCCUCGUGGGACCCAUAAAGUCAGGCGUCUGCUCCUCGACUCAGCGCUUCUUCCUCUCUCCUCUAACUCUCGUCUCGGCUGGUGGCUCGGCUCGGCUGGCAAAAGAAAGGACGUCCUCUCCUCCUGACCUGCACGCUCUCUCUCCUGUCAGAGCAUUUAUUGCGGAAACUUUUCUCUUUCCUUCGUUUGAGAAAGAAAAUGGCCGUUCGUUCCUCUUUCCCUCUCCAUUUCUUUCCUUUCGAAUUUUUGAAUCUGAAAUCCUCUCUCCGCGCUCGUUGUUGCUCCGCCGUGCAUCAAGCGGCCGUUCUCCUGCCAUCACCGACGAACCACAUUACGGCCGCCGCUACUCCGGUGCUCACUCGCUUCUCUCUUCGGGUUCGUUGCUGCUCCGUCAUUCGUUCCGGCGUUCCCGGGAUCGCAGAUGCAGCACGCGGAGGAGAAGCAGGCCUCUUCGAGCUCCCCUCAACGUCGGCGACGUCGCCCGCCAAGCGAGACCCGCACACACGGAAGGCUCGGAGGCGAGGUUGCUGGAGAAGCUGGUGCUGAGCUGCCUCGUCGUGUUCGACACUCCUCCGCCUCCCUCUCGCGACGUCCGCUCUGCUCUCUCUCUCCCCCCCCUCUGCGAAGUCGUGACUCUCUUCCAGCGAAACGCGACGCCAACGGCCCUCCACCUCUGCCGGUUGACUCCGUCGCCCUCGACUCCGACUCCGACUCCGACGCCGACGCCGACGCCGCCUCCUCCCCUGAACCCGACUCUGACGCCGACGCCCCUUCGCCGGUUGCCUCCCUUUCUGUAAGAAAUUCAACAUUGAGCCACGGGCACCUGAGUUUUAUUUUGCUCAGAAGAUAGAUUAUCUCAAAGAUAAGGUUGAGGCAUCUUUUGUGAAGGAGCGAAGAGCAAUGAAGGUAGUAGGAGUGCCAAAUUUAAUUUAUCAAUUGCUCUUUGCAGAUGAUAGUCAAAGUCUUAAUUCUGUUCUUGCUGUGUUUGCAGAGAGAGUAUGAGGAGUUUAAGGUUCGUAUAAAUGCUUUGGUGGCCAAAGCCCAGAAGGUUCCUGAAGAAGGGUGGACGAUGCAGGAUGGAACACCAUGGCCUGGAAAUAACGUCCGUGAUCAUCCUGGCAUGAUUCAGGUAUGCAAAGUUGUCAUUUUCAGUUUUAGAACUCUUUGUUGAUGUGAGAUGAGAUUAACUGCUUAUUUCUGCUAUCUUUAAUAGGUUUUUCUUGGCCAAAGUGGAGGACAUGACUCUGAUGGGAAUGAAUUACCUCGCCUUGUCUAUGUUUCCAGAGAGAAGAGGCCUGGCUAUAAUCACCACAAGAAGGCAGGAGCCAUGAAUGCUUUGGUAAGUGUCAUAAGAAUCCACCUUAGUUGGUAAACCCCCUUUUUUGCUCUCUCCAUUGACCUCUCUGUGAACUUUUGUUUGUCUAACCGGUCAGGGUCUCUGCUGUGCUUACAAAUGCGCCUUAUCUUUUGAAUCUGGAUUGUGAUCACUACUUCAAUAAUAGUAAGGCUAUUAGGGAGGCAAUGUGCUUCAUGAUGGACCCACUUAUUGGAAAAAGAGUGUGCUACGUCCAGUUCCCUCAAAGAUUCGACGGUAUAGAUAGGCACGAUCGAUAUGCCAAUCGGAACACCGUGUUUUUCGAUGUAAGCAUGCAAUUAUCAACCAUUGAAUUGCCUCAUGUCCAUUGCACAUACCAUAUCAUUAAUUCUGUGCAAGAAGAUCUGACGGAGAAAUUUCUCUCUUUCAGAUUAACAUGAAAGGUCUGGAUGGUAUUCAAGGUCCUAUUUACGUUGGGACUGGUUGUGUAUUCAGAAGGCUGGCACUCUAUGGUUAUGAUGCUCCAAAAGCAAAGAAGCCACCGACCAGAACUUGCAACUGCUUGCCAAAGUGGUGCUGUUGUGGGUGCUGUUGCUCUGGGACGAAGAAGAAGAAGAAGAAUACCAAGCCUAAGACCGAACUGAAGAAGAGAUUUUUAAAAAAAAAAGAUGCAGGUACUCCACCACCUUUGGAAGGUAUCGAAGAGGGCAUUGAAGGUGAGAUUCUGCUUUUGCAUGAAGUCCCACUUAAUUGUCUAGUGUUGGUUUACCUUUUUCUAUCAUUGAAUGUGCCUCUCAAUUUUGGCAUCAAUCGGUGAAAUCUUUUUAUUCUUCCAAAAGCUUGUUUUCUAUUGGGUUGCUUCCCAGUUAACAUCUGUUCCAAUUUGGACUUAACCAAUUUUGCUUCCUAUGUCAUGUUUAAGGCUAGUUCUUUUACUUAGUCAUCAAUACAUUCAUGUUUUCUUAUGCAGGAAUUGAAACUGAAAAUCCCACGCCUCAGCAUAAGCUUGAAAAGAAGUUUGGGCAAUCCUCAGUCUUCGUCGCAUCGACAAUGCUAGAGGAUGGAGGAACACUGAAAGGCACGAGCCCUGCAUCUUUGCUAAAAGAAGCUAUCCAUGUCAUCAGCUGCGGCUACGAAGAUAAGACUGAGUGGGGAAAAGAGGUAAGUGUAGUGUAAAUGCUCUCUUCAUGCAAUUCCCCGAAACAAUUAUUGUUUCUCUCAGAGUUGGCUGAACUUUCAUCAUAUACAGGUUGGAUGGAUAUAUGGUUCAGUUACAGAAGAUAUAUUGACGGGCUUUAAAAUGCAUUGCCAUGGAUGGCGUUCCAUCUACUGCAUCCCUGCAAGACCCGCUUUGAAAGGAUCUGCUCCCAUUAAUCUUUCCGAUCGUCUCCACCAGGUCCUUCGUUGGGCUCUUGGUUCCAUUGAGAUCUUCUUAAGCAGGCAUUGUCCCCUUUGGUAUGGUUAUGGAGGCAGUUUGAAAUGGUUAGAGCGAUUAUCUUACAUAAAUGCCACAGUAUACCCCUGGACAUCAAUCCCUCUGUUGGCAUACUGUACUUUGCCUGCUGUGUGCUGCUUGCUUACUGGGAAAUUCAUCACGCCAGAGGUAGGCUAUUAGAUUUUUCUUUUUCUUUCUUUUUCUUUUUUUCAACUAUUGCUUUUAUAUCGUACAAUUGAUGAUAUUCCAGGCAAAAGAUCUUAUAUUGUCUUUGUUUCUUGUCCCCGUUGCAGCUGAGCAAUGUGGCUAGUCUGUGGUUUCUGUCACUUUUCAUUUGCAUUUUCGCGACAAGUAUCCUGGAAAUGCGAUGGAGUGGGGUUGGAACAGAAGAAUGGUGGAGGAACGAACAGUUCUGGGUCAUCGGAGGAGUUUCAGCACAUCUCUUUGCAGUUUUUCAGGGGCUUUUGAAGGUUCUGGCUGGUGUUGACACGAACUUCACUGUGACAUCAAAGGGUGGGGAUGACGAGGAGUUCUCUCAACUCUAUGCGUUCAAAUGGACCACCUUGCUCAUUCCGCCAACCACAUUGCUUAUAAUAAACCUGAUUGGUGUUGUAGCUGGCGUAUCAAACGCAAUAAACAACGGUUACGAGUCCUGGGGUCCUCUCUUCGGAAAGCUAUUCUUUGCCUUCUGGGUGAUUGUCCACUUGUAUCCUUUCCUAAAGGGUCUGCUCGGACGGCAGAACAGGACUCCUACAAUCAUCAUUGUGUGGUCAAUCUUGCUCGCUUCCAUCUUCUCCCUUCUGUGGGUACGUGUCGAUCCAUUCUUGGCCAAGUCGGACGGACCACUUUUGGAAGAAUGCGGGUUGGACUGUAAUUAGCAAGAGUGUCUGAUUCCUGGAACAUUUGGUCAGUAGGAUUUGUUUAUGGGUUAUUUAUCGUAAGGAUACAGAAAGAAUACAUUUGGUGUGGUGCCGUCUGCAAUGCAAAUAAAGGGCAUGUUUGGACGUCACUGUUUCCGCAACUCCGCCUCUCCAUUUGACCGCAACACUCUGAAGGGCUACAAAAACCGACUUUGCUGCUCUUUUGCAACAGCUGGGAGAUUGUCGGAAAGGACUGUGACACUGCUUCUUGAUUCUUUAUUUGGUUCAUAAUUUUUUUCUUUUCUAGGAUGAGGAGGUGGCGUGAACCACAGUAUAAUGUGUAUUAUCAUCUCAUAAUCUCUCUCUCUCCCUCCCUCUCUCUCCCCCUGUGUAAGUGUAACUCAGCCGAAAUUGUGAGCAUGUAUUAUAUACGGGGCAUCGUCCCUCAGUUGAUGCUGCUUAAUGUGGCCAUGCAUGGCGUUUUGCUGUUGGAAGAUCAAAGGGAAAAGUUCAAUUUUCUUUGGCCACAGAAACGGUUUUGAUUGCUUAGAUAUUCAAGAGACCUGACUGUACUUAUUACUACGAGUGCAUUGCAAACCAUGCCAUUUUUUAGAUUCUCCUCAAGAACAAUAGAGCUGCAAAAGUCGGUUGAAAGAUCAAAGGGAAAAUUUUCAAUUUUCUUUGGCCACAGAAACGUUUUUGAUUGCUUACAUAUGUAAGAGACAAGACUGUACAUCUUAUUACUACGAGUGCAUUGCGAACCAUGCCAUUUUUUAGAUUCUCCUCAAGAACAGAAGAGCUGUAAAAGUUCGUUGAAAGAUCAGAGGGAAGAAGUUCAAUUUUCUUUGCCACAGUAGGUGUUGCGACGGUUUUGAUUGGUUGUUACAUAUUUAAGUGACCUGACUUAACAUCUUAUUGCUCCAAGUGCAUUGCAAACCAUUGCCAUUUUUCAGAUUCUCCUCAGGAACAAAAGAGUCUCUGUAACAGUUGGAUGCAGGAAGUUUUAAUGCAAAUCAUCUGUAGACAGAAAGUUUUACACGAUUUGAGCGUCAAUGCAGCAUCAACUUGGAGAUUCAUCUUGGCAUCUGGUGAGACGGGCCAGAACGAUGAUGAGACGCAGGUGACCAAAAUGUUCCAACUCUUCAGCAACAGUAAGAAAAGCAGGAGAGGAGCCCAAAAAAAAAAGUCACAAAAGAGAAUCUAAAGAAAAUUCUGGCUAUUUUCCACACCAUCCCCAACCCCUUUUUUGUAUUGGGCUGGACAUUAUUCUGUAUGAGAAGAGACGUGUAUUAAUCUUUCACUCAACAGAUUUACAAAAAAAUUACUCCUCCCAUUGCCUUGGAGAAGCUGAAUUCUCACAUCCAGUACCAUAAAAUGAAAUCGCCGAGAUCUUCAAAACCCAUACCAAACUUGCUACUGGCCAAAGACCAAAGAAUGCCACAACUGUCAUUUCUAGGCACUGAGGUUUGAAAGCGUCUAGCCAAAGGUGAGAUGAAACUUCCAGGCUAAUCCCCUUGAAUACAUGUGACCAGAGUUUCAGAAGCCUGUCCUGCCAAAAAAGGUCAGUCAUCUCAAAAUCCACUUUGUCAUCAUGAUGCUGGGUUGAGAUGAACAGAUGCAGCUAAUUCUGCUAAUUGUUUCCCGCUGAGAUCAUAAACAAGUUCCAUAGGGAUUAAAUGUUUUGGUUGAUUGCCAAAAUCUUCCUCCUUCAAAUCAUAUACCGCUUGGAGCUUUUGGGCUUCAUAUUCUGCAGCUUUGGCCUCAGCAAGUAAAAUGUCUGCUUCUUCAUGGUCACCCAAUUCCACAGCAGCAGCUCUUUCAGCAUUGGCAGCACUGGCAGUUAUGAGUAACCUCUGGAGUCUAGCCACUGCCAAAUCCCUCUCCCUUAAUAAGAUCUGCUCCUCAGCCUCCUGCAAUUAAUCAACAGUUUCUUUAAUUUCUUCUUCAAGCUUUCCAAGCUUUCAAGCUUGAUUUGUGUUCCUUCCUUCUCAUUGCUCAACGACUUUGCUUCAGCAGCUAUUCGUGUAGCUUCUUUGAAAUUUCUUGCAGCAGCAGCAACCUUUUUCUCAGUCUCUAGUUCUGGAAGUCUCUUGUCCACAUAAAGUAUCCUCUGCUCAAAUGAAGCUAUCUCCUGUUGGAGGCUGGACUUAUUUGAAGACAGUUCCUAUGAUCAAAAGACAAGAAUCUAAUCAAAUGAUGCGUUGAAGAGCCAAAUAAAUUUUGAGUAUUCAGUUUUUGAAUUUUCGUCCUGAAGCUAUAGCUAAAGAACAUGCUUAACACAAUACCCUGACCACUAGACUGGACAAAAAAUUCAGAUAAAGGUCUCCUGACACAACAUUGGAGUUCACUGCAAGAUUUGAAAUCUGAUCAAAUUCUGCUUUUGCUUAUACUCUCCUGUUGCUCCCUCUUUUGCUUAUUGUUUCCUAUUUCUCCUGUUACAGUACUCCAGCUCUACAAUAGUUUGAUUUCAUGAUUACAUCCACUGUCUCACUCGCAAGCUAUAGCUUUUCUGUGAGGGGAAACAGUAGAUCUCAACAUACAUUGUCUUCAUAUCCCUAGUUGCCUAAACUUUUAAGAUUAAGGCUUCCCUAACAAAUACGUCGCAUCUCUUAUUUUCACCAAAAAAAAAAAACAAAUACGUCGCAUAAACAAACUUUUGAAAGAAAGUAGGAGUCACUCACUGCCUGUGUCUUUAGAAUAUUCCUUCAGCAAGUAUAUCUUAACCAUGAACCAACACUCAUCCUAGGUUGGAUAAUCAAACAUGAACCUCAAGCAUUACUGAUUCAGAAGACUGGAAGUAAAUUCUCCAAAAUGUUGCAACAUGUAGACUCCAUAGGCCAGAAUUAUAGUAGAUUAAGCAUGUGAAGCUUAACCACCUUUUAGGUAUAUGUCGUUUGCAUGUAAAGAGUAAGAUAGCUAAAAAGUAAAAUAACCUGUAAAGAAGCUCUUGCAGAGGAAGCUUCUUGUUGGAGCCUCAUGACAUCUUCAGAAAAUUUCUCCUCAGUCUUCAUCAGCCCCAGUUUACUUUCUCUGUACUCCAAAAUGCAGAGCAUUAAACCUUUUCUCAAUCCUGCUGCUUCAUUGUAUGCUUUUGCUUCAUCUGCAGCAAUCUUCCCAAGUUCCCUAAUCUUUGCUCCUUUAUUAUCUUCCUGAGAGAGUACGUCAUCAAUAUCUUUCUUUUUUAUAGAUAAAGCUUCACUUUCGGCAUCAACCUGAGAGAGCUUUGAUUUCAUUCUAUCAUAUUUAGCACCAAUAUCUGAUUGCAUGUCCUGAAAUCCAGAGACCACACCAGCAAUGUGCUUCUCUACUGCUUCAAUGGAAGCAUCAUUCUCAGCAAUUUGCUUCUCCUUCUCUCUCACUAAAUUAAGCAGCUUCUCCAAUUCAUCCAACAACACAUCCUUCUUCUUAAGAAGUUUUUCUUUCUCUCUACUGUCAUCAUCAAUUGAAUGCUCGAUGGAAACAUUCACUCCUUUACGAGCUUCACUUAUCAGAUAUGACUCGAUUUCAAGUUCCAUCUUCCUCACCUCCAAAUCUUCACUUGAUGAAAGCCAUUUGUCCAUUUCCUCAGCACGCAGUAAGUUUGCCUUCUUCUCUAUCAGGUCAGCACUAGCAGUUGCAUCCUGCAGGAUAAGAGGUAAAAAUGUCAGUCAUUCUGCUUCAAACUAAAUUUGGCUACCACAUGAAAUCGAUAGCUUACGAGAAAGCUUUUCGUGGUACGCAUGAUCCAACCUCAUGUUUUGUAGGGACAGAUGAAACAGUUAAUGAAAAAGUUCAGAGAGAGAUAGCACGGCUAUCCUUAAAACAGUCACUAUCCAAAAGUCUACUUGGAUUGGCAAAACAGAGACUACCAUGGGAUCAAUAUGACUUGCUGAAAGCUUUUAGUUUACCUUACAUCAAGUCAAUUAAAACCAUGGCUAUCUCAAAAUAAAAAACUAGGGCUACAAUUGUGCGCAAGGGCACACCAAUGACACCACACAUGCAGUGCACCCACUACCAUGCCUAUAAUCUACCAUAACCUAACAAUGGUCAAGAGACAUUCUUGUUUUCCAUUCAUUUUCCUUGAAGCACUUUGACAAAACUAGUCUUUCCAUGUUCACCUUGAGAACCCGACUGCCAAUUGAAAGAUGAAAAUUGACAAACGACUUCCUUCACUCAACAGGGGCAGCUAAGCACAAGCAUGAAUAUAAAGAACAUCCAGUCAGGAAGGCUUGUACCAUUACACACGCAAGUUUAUAAAGACAGAGAGAAAACCAGAAACGUGUAUCAAUCUGCUCCAGCCAAUGAUUGUGUUGCCCUGUGGUGCGAAGUUCUUACUAUAGAGCUCACUCUAUCUUAAUUCAUUCUAGGAUCAAGCAUUAGUGUAGCCAAAAAAAAGAAAAGAUGUUGUCACUGACCUUAGAGAAAUUCUCCAACAGAGAAACACACUCAUCCUCAGCAGCAAUCUGUGCAUUCAAAACCUCCUGCAUCUUCGCAUCAAUAGCAUCGCAUUCAGCUUCACUAGCUCUAAGUGCAUCCACCAAAGCUUGUCUCUCCUUUUCGGCAGCAGCAAAAGGAAAUAACUGAAUAAGUAAUGUUGGGUCGGCAUCACCAUUUUCUGCGAUGCAUGGACUUGGCGAAGGGGCAUCGGCGUCGGCGUCGGCGUCAGGCACAUAGGCGGAGGCCGAGGCGUCGGCGUCGGGGGCGACGGACUCCGACGCCGACGGAGGCAACCGGCGAAGGGGCGUCGGCGUCAGAGUCGGGUUCAGGGGAGGAGGCGGCGUCGGCGUCGGCGUCGGAGUCGGAGUCGGAGUCGAGGGCGACGGAGUCAACCGGCAGAGGUGGAGGGCCGUCGGCGUCGCGUUUCGCUGGAAGAGAGUCACGACUUCGCAGAGGGGGGGGAGAGAGAGAGCAGAGCGGACGUCGCGAGAGGGAGGCGGAGGAGCGUCGAACACGACGAGGCAGCUCAGCACCAGCUUCUCCAGCAACCUCGCCUCCGAGCCUUCCGUGUGUGCGGGUCUCGCUUGGCGGGCGACGUCGCCGACGUUGAGGGGAGCUCGAAGAGGCCUGCUUCUCCUCCGCGUGCUGCAUCUGCGAUCCCGGGAACGCCGGAACGAAUGACGGAGCAGCAACGAACCCGAAGAGAGAAGCGAGUGAGCACCGGAGUAGCGGCGGCCGUAAUGUGGUUCGUCGGUGAUGGCAGGAGAACGGCCGCUUGAUGCACGGCGGAGCAACAACGAGCGCGGAGAGAGGAUUUCAGAUUCAAAAAUUCGAAAGGAAAGAAAUGGAGAGGGAAAGAGGAACGAACGGCCAUUUUCUUUCUCAAACGAAGGAAAGAGAAAAGUUUCCGCAAUAAAUGCUCUGACAGGAGAGAGAGCGUGCAGGUCAGGAGGAGAGGACGUCCUUUCUUUUGCCAGCCGAGCCGAGCCACCAGCCGAGACGAGAGUUAGAGGAGAGAGGAAGAAGUGCUGAGUCGAGGAGCAGACGCCUGACUUUAUGGGUCCCACGCUGGCUACAUAAGACGUACCCAAUAUUUUCUCCCCUUCGUGGUCUGAGCAAUGACUUUGACAUAUUGACUCUAUUUUCUCUCUCAAAACCCGAUCCUCUUUGCAGCAGGAAAAAAAAGAUAGCUGGUUUUCAAUUGGAGUAAGCUUUUCUUUUGGGUCGUUUGUUUAUCCUGAAAGUGCAUUAGGAUUAAGAGCAUAACUCUUUGUACUGUCGAUGCAUAGUCCGCACGGGGUUUCAACAAACUGUGUUGCAACAGCUGAUUUAGACCAGUGGCCCCGUGGGGAGUUAGGAGAUUCGGGAACAUUUCAUUGGACACAGUCAUGUUUUGUAGGUUUCUAUAAUUAAGAGUUCUCUGGUUAGGGUCUUUAAUCCUCAUUUUUAUGCGGUCUUUGAAUCUUUCGGCAUGUCUAUCUCAACACCCAUCUUCCCAGUUCCUUUCUUUCUCGUCUUUUUGGCCAUUUUCUCAGUUCAUUAGAUGCAUGUGAUUUGGCAAAAGCUCAACUUGGAUGGUCGGGGUCUCCUUUUCUUUUUCAACUGAGUGUGUUCCAAGCAGAUGUGCCAUCCCUUUGAGGUGAUUCGUUCAAGACGACCACAAGUGAUGAGUGUUCUUAAGUUUCUCGUCUCAUGCUUUCAUUACAAUGAGUUCUCCCCGGGAAGCGGGAGAAUUGUCCAAAAAGUCUUAAACCUAUUGCAGUUUUGUCAAUUCAGUCUUAAACCUUUCAAUCUUACCGAUUGAGUCCUAAACUUUUUGUCGGUUUGCCAAUUGAGUCAAUCCGGCCAAUUUUGGCCGGAAAAUGUUGAUGUGAACGUCAGUGGUGCCACGUAAGACUGUUGGCGCUAACAUGGAUAUUUUUUAAUAAUAUUUUUAUUUUUAUUUUGAUUUUUUUAAAUAUUUUCUGUUUUUUCCUUUUUUUUCUUUUUGGCUUUUCCUUUGCCCUUUUCCGGUGGCCAACCACCGGCCAUCGACCACAACCAGCCGGCUAGCCUCGCCCGCCACAGGCGAGGCCCGACCGAGCGACGGCAACGCCAGGCGAGGCUAGUCUUGGCCCCGGCGAGGGCCGACCUCGCCAGAUCUGGUCUGGGUAAGGCCGAUGCUCGCCUGGGCCAGGGAAAGCCUCGGCAAGGGCUCCCCUCGCUCGACGUUGCCGUCACCCGGUCGAGCCUUGCUUGUGGCGAGCGAGGGGAGCCCUCGCUGAGGCUCACCCUCGCCCAGGCAAGUGUCAACCUGUGGCCGGUGGCCAGCCAUCACUUGCUCGACUAGGGGUGAGGCGACGCUCGCCUGGGCGAGGGCUAGCCCCGGCGAGGGCGAGCCCCGGUGAGGGCUCCCCUCGCUAGGGCUGGCCUUGCCCGGCGUCGCCGUUGCUGUCGCCCAGCCGGGCCUUGCCUGUGGCGGGCGAGGCCAGCCCUGUGGCCAGUGGCCGGCCAUCGCCUAUGGCUAGUGGCCGGCCACCGGAAAAGGGCAAGGGAAAAGCCAAAAAGAAAAAAAAAAAAAACAAGGAAAAAAAGAAAAUAUAAAAAAAUCAAUUUUUAAAAAAAAUAUUAAAAUGUUAUUAAAAAAAUGUCCACAUCAGCGCUGGUAGUCUUAUGUGGCACCGCCGAAGCCACGUCAACAUUUUCCGGUCAAAAUUGGCCGGAUUGACUCAAUUGGCAAACCGACAAAAGUUUAGGACUCAAUCGGUAAGAUUGAAAGGUUUAGGAUUGAAUUUGCAAAACUGUAAUAGGUUUAGGACUUUUUAGACAAUUUUCUCCCGGGAAGGAGCAAGGGCAUUGGGCCAUCUUCCUCUUUUCAAACGAAGGUGAACCUACAGAGAGCUUUUGCAAGCCCGGUGGAAGUUAUAUUUUCUUAAGUGAUGAUCAACGGAUGAAUUCGACAUGCGAACAAUGAUUGACCAAGUAAGGUCGAGUUCGGGUCGGUUUUUAGGAUGGUUGUCCAGUACUGAACCUGGUUACUUCCUUGCACGUAUAUCCCUGACCAAGUUGCGAAUCUCCUUACUGAUGCAACCCCAUUUCUAACUCCAUACCUACUUACCAAAGGUUCGACUUUCGACCUUCACAAUGGUUUAUGUUUUCCUCCUCCAUCAUUCGAUAGUUUGAAUAAAGGAGGCCCAACCACAUGAACCUUUCAAGUACAAAACGUGUUAUCGAGUCUAGUGACUACAGAUUUGCACUGGCCGCGAUUCCUUCAGCAUAUAGCCUAUAUGAUGGACUACGAAAGUAGAGCAUGAGCAAAUUGGGUUGGGGGGGUUACAUUCGCAUAUGCAUAUAAAGGGGCAACCCUCUCCACAUGAAAGAGAAAGAACUGCAGAGAACAUCUCCCUCCGAUUGAAAUGCCCAUAUUUAUACGUUUACAAACGCAAAUACAAGUCUUUCCACAGCAACACUAGUACACAGAGGAACCGAUUGACAUAAAAACUACUUAUAGUAUUUUCCCCGUUACAAACACGUGUAAUUCAUGUAUAACACUGUCCGUAAGUAACAGCGAAAAAUGAGUAAACACAAGUGAGACAUACCAACCUAGCAGUAGCACAUGAUACCACUGCGCUGCCACAUUUAUCCUUUGCAAUAGCAAUAAGCAGCGAACAACAGAUCGGCACAGCAUCACCUUUGCAACUGGAAGCAUCUCGUCCGUCAUUCAUAGCCAAACAACAAAAGCUUUUCACAAUGGAAGUGCCGAUCAGGAGAGUCUGAGUCUUCCAAAAUUAACCCUCGUGUCAGCUCCAAAAUCAAUGCUAUUCAUUUCUUCUUCUUCAUUUUCCUACCUGUUCCAAUACUUAUCCCAAAUGUCCGAGGCUUUUUUGUUAAUCUCUAUGUUCCCGUGAAUCUGGAGACCCAUGAUUUUCUCCAACCCCUCACAUUCUUCAAUCAUGUCCAUGACCAGUUCUCUGAUAGUUUCACCGCUCUCUAGAAUGCGUUCCACACCAUCUAGGCACACUCCUAUGAUCUCAGGGUCGGGGCAAAUAAGGAGAUCGCAGAGCGGCUUGAUAAAACCCUGGUUCACCAAGUAUCUGCAAAAACGACAAAGGUCAGAGUUCUGUGGAUCAUGUUGAAGUGUUCAAUGAAAAGCUCACACUUCCAUCUAUUGAUAUAAAUCUCUAAGCUGAUCAGUUGCAGUUGGAUAAUUCAAUUUGAUAUCAUCUAAACACCCCCCCCCCCUCCCCAACACCCCAAACUACUGUCACUGUCACUGUCACUUCAUAUUUCGACACUUCUAGAUUUGAUUUAGUACCAGCAUGUGCGUGAGAGAGGGCUUUGAAGUUUUUGGACAUUGAACACCCCCACAAUCCGCUUGCUUAAUGGAUGGAUCCAUUAUCAUCUCCAACAACACAUUACUACAUAAUACAUUUAACAACUGAAAUAAAUACUGCACUUUAUCAGUAAACAAUUUUUCAUCGAAAUGAACUGCCGAUGAUUUUUUGUCCGGUGAGACUUUCCUUUUCUUCAUUACUCUGCAAGUGCAGUCAACAUGAAAUGGAAUUGCAUUCCCUGCUUCUUCAAAUCCUUGCAGGUAAGAGGAUGAAACAAACCUAGACAAACCAUAUGACAAGAGGAACACGAAAAGAAUGACGAUCUCCAGUAAUUGACCAUUAAGUUUAGACAUGGACAUGAGCUACGGAUGUUUAAUUCUCUUGAGCUAUAAAAAAUGAAUCCAGAGGGAACAGUAUGGGUAUGAUUUCCAUCUUUUGGGUGAUAACCAGCGCAAGGUUCCACAUGUUGUGUUGGAGCAGAGUAAUGUAGAUAGAGACAUAUCGAAUUUGUUCAUGGGACCCACCACAGAUGGCAUUUGAAAUAGCCCAUGCAGCCUCUUUCUUUAUUUUGAAUUGGGCACGUUGAAGAAGGCUCACAACAGGAGGAAUGAAGUUUGCUUCAAUUACAGCCUGAAAAGGACAAUAAAACUGUUUUUACAAGAUUGUCAAAGCAUGUAACCUAUGGAAACAUCUCUUAAGAGAUCAAUUUCAUAAUUGAAAUGCUAUAUCAGAUAAGCAAAAGCUCCUCCCUAAUAAUUCAAAAAAAAAAAACAAAAGGAGUGAACGUAAUUCUGGUAUUCAAUCUUGAAGUGAAUUUUGGAAAUACAUCAGAAGUUCAUUAUCACGAAAAACAAAAGUGAACAAUUGCUGCGUUGAAGGUGAGACUACUCUGUUUAGGGAGAAGAGACAAGGUGCCAUCAAUUAUAGAAACAUUCACCCAGGAAUUCAGGAUAAUGGCAGGGCAGCAAUUUAGUACAGCACAAAUGAGCAAAAGCAACUACGAUAAGGUCUUAACAAACACUUCUUUCAUACUCAAUGCUCAAUACAAUAUAUUGUACUAUCAUUGAACAGAGGUAUUACCUGAAUUUGAUUUCUAUUACCCGCCGCAAUAUUUGCAAUUACCCAACAAGCUUCUUCCUUGACACUCCUAUCCCAAUUUUCAGUCAGAAUUUGACAUAAAGGAAGCAGUCCUUGAUUGUCAAUUCCAAACUGCAACCGAAAACCAAGUGUUGACACCUAAAUUUUGAUGACCCAUUUAAUUAUUUAUCAUAUUAAAAAAUUAGGGAUUAAUUUUAACCCCUAAAAAAAUAUUAGUUAAUUAAUUAAUUGCAUAGCAUAUAGUUUUAGGUGCAUUUAUUUUAAUUUGCAUUUACAUUGGGCCGGUGACAAAUGGGUUCAAAUUAAUGGUUCAGAAUAUUAAUUUGGUGAAUUGGACUAAGCCCACAAAGGGAGUAAAUUGGCCUAAGCCCGUAUCCUCGGAAAGAUUUUACGGAUUGAGAUUUUACGGAUUGAUUUAUGCGAGAUUUCAAAUUUUAAAAGAAUCCUCUUGCAAUCCCAAAUCGUAUCAAAAGCAAAUAUUACAUUUGGAAAAAGGAAUUUUCGUGGAUAUGGAUUUGGAAAAAUUAAAACCCUAACUCGUGGUCUAUAAAUAGAUUAAAUGCGUAGGGUUUAGAGGAGGAGGCCACACAUUGAAUAUACGGCCACAAUAUAGAAAGCAUACGUGAAGGAGAGGGAACGUGAGGGGAAAGAGGCUGGCUUUCUCUUUGCAAUGGCUCGUUGAAGCUUCCUCGUAGCAUCUCGGCGCAAUCUUUAGCAAAUCUCUACCACAUUAAACAAGCCUUCGAGCCAGCAUUGGAGUUCCAGCAGUCGUAUGAGUUUCCCAAAGAUAGUCCAGCAACCUCCAGGUGAACAUCCAGCGAGCCAGCUCCAAGGUGUCCUUGGCAGGUUUUCAGCAAGAUUCCCGCCACGACUAGCCUUAGUCGUGCCUCAUCAAGCAGCUGCAGGGUUUCUCGAGGGACGUCAAUAAUCUCAGUCGAGAAUUCCAUCCUCUGGUCACGUGUUCAAGUUCCAAUCGACGCCGAUCCCGGAGCCUUACCAAGCGAAGUUUCUUAGACGAUUACCUGGUCUUCUCGGAAUACCUAAUAGAGACGUCCACGAGAUAAACCCGGAGAGAGGCUCGUGCUUUCACUUCUCUACUGCACCCAUUCACAAAGUCCACGCAUGAAGAGAUAGGAGAAAAAUCGGGGCAUAGAUAUUCUCAGUAAAAAAGGGGUGGUCAACUUUGAGAGGGAUUUGAUUGUGUUUCAUAAAAAUUGAGGACUAAGCUGGAGUAGUCCCUGCACGAACAUCUUCUUUGGCCCACCGCUUCGGGAGGUUUCUAAAGCGGUCCCAAGUUGAUCACCAAGAUGUGAGCAGCCGCGUCUCUACCCCAUCAACGACCAGCCGCAGAGCCAUUGAACAUCGCAAAUCACCUGUGAACCACCACAGCCACUGACCUUGAGUCGUGCCGCCCCGAACCUCCGUUGCAGCCCAAUCCAUCACCGAGGACGUUCCUUUCACGGCCACCCAAGAUUCCUAAGUCGUUGUUCUGGCCAUCAUUGGUGAAUCACUCCAAUAGACUUAAAUCUCAACGGCGAAGCUGAGAGUGCUAGUAUGAACAAAAUAAAUGAGUUAGGGAAGAGAAUAAGAACACAAGAUUUAUAGUGGUUCGGCUUAUUCCAAGCCUACGUCCACUCUCCCACGCUAACAGCCUUCUUGGCUGGAUUCCAAUAUGCAAUCAACAAGAGAUUACAACUUCGAGUGCAAACACUUAGUAGUAGAUCCCACUAUCUCACUAAGUCACUCUUUUGGUAUUUCUCUCACGAUUACAAACGUUUAAGCUCUCAAGAGACAAGUAUAUGAUCAAAAGUCGCUCAGACUUUGGAAUUAUAAAUUCUACGCUCCGUCUCUUACUUGCUCAUCGGUCCAUGAUCUCCUUAAAUACUCCUCCACUUCCAAACUACCCGUUGGACAGUAUCCCGGAGAAUUGUCUUCCAAUAUACCCAUUGGACAGCUCUGUAUCUAGAAGAUUUGGUAGCCGUUGAGUGACAAAGGUAAAAUCCCAAAUUGAUUCCGAUCGCCCAUACAAACGAAAUCUUGGUUUCUAUAAGUAAAGCUUCUUCGUAUAGAAAGUUCUUGUCUUCAAGAUCCAAUUGUCAAUCAAUUAGAUUGAAUCAAUCAAAUCAAUCUUGAUGUGGAAUCCAAACCAGAUCACUAGCCGUUGUAUGAUUGGGCUUGAGUUACAAUUCAUUGAAUCUGGAUGUAAAGUCUGAGUCUGUAGACUUUACAAUAUGAGUCUCUAGACUUUACAAUCUGGGUCUGAACAUAUCUGCUUCUGAACAGAUUUAGCUUUAAGGUCUGUACCCAGUUCAACUUCAGUAUAGAGUCUGUCUUCUGGUUCAGCAUUCACGUUCAGUCUGGAAUUUGUCAGAGUGAGCAGACUUCUGAUGUAGAACAGACUUUGACACUAAAGUCUGGCAGUCUUCAGACUUUGAGUCUUGAGUCUGGCAGUCUUCAGACUUUGACACAGAAGUCUGGAAAUCUUCAGAAUAUAUUUUGGACAUGUGUUACGUUCAGUCUUCUGGUCGUCUUCUGACUUUGAUAAUAUCCUCUACAUGUUCUAACAUCUGCAUGGUCUAUUACUCAACCAUCAAACAUGUUAGUAGCCUUUGAUUUAUUUUGUCAUCUUCAAAACAUCAUAAGGGAUUUCCUUAACAGAAGCAGCCACGCCUUGCACAAGUCUUUCCUUGGAGGUUGAAAAUUUAAGUGUGGAUUUUAGAAGGUCAAAGUUUGACAAUCAAUGGGAUUGUCAGAAGGCUAGUGGAUUUCCCUGCGUCACCAAAUUCCACAAAACCAGCAUUGGGAGACCAAGAUUCGCCGUCCAUCGAGGAGUCCCUUGCCGAGCUUACAAAUUUUUGUUUCGCAGGUCUUGUGGAGCUCAUCGGGUGAUUUUCGAGCAACCGAGCACCACCACGUUGCAUCGCGAGUAGCCAUUCGAGGAUCGGAAUUUGGAAACCAAUAUUCGAGUUAGGUGAAAAUCUUAUCUAUUUUGAUUUUUCGAAAAUUCCAUUACCUUAUUUGGGAUAUUUGUCGAUGCAUAUAAUUGAAAUUCCCGAUAUGACAUGAUAUUCGCAACUCGAGUAGCUUCCUGAAUUAGGAAAUUUUCCUAAUUUCGCAACGUGCGUAUGAUUGACAGUCCGAUUUCAUGCUCGAAAUAUGACCAGUAAUCGCACGGAAAAAUCACCAAUCCAAUCUCACGCUCGAGAUACGAUUAGUGAUUUUGUCUAAAAUUGGCCAAUCCGAUCUCUUGUGCGAGAUAUGAUUCGUCAAUUUAUUUCCAAAAUUAAAUGGACAUGGAUGAUAUUUUGCUGGAUUUGUUGCCGUGUUGUUCUUGAUGCCUUUAUUUGUUUGCUCCCAUAAAAGAAAAAAAAACAUUUGAGUUAGAUUAGAUGCAUCUUAGGAUAUUACUUGUUUUAGGGUUAUUUUGCAUGUCUAGAAUAAGAGAUUUACUUAUUUCGAAUUUCAAAAAUAAAAAAAUCAAAAAUCAAAAAUCAAAUCAAUCAAUUUAGGUUGCUAGUUUUUUUACUUAGGUUGCAUGUUUAAUAAUUUGACAAUUCUUAAUUUCGAAAUUAAUAAAACAAAAACAAAAAGGGUUAUCAUGCAUAUGUCAUGUAGAAUAAAUGCAUUCUUUGCACGUCAUUGCAUAUUAGGAUAAAAUUUCAUGUUUCAUUUUAAGUUUAGAUAUUAGAUAGAUUGCAUUUUAGGACUAUUUGGGUUAAGAUAAUAUUUUAGUUUAAAUUAGGAUUUGGCUUAACCUAAUUCCUAAUGCAAAUUAAAUAGAAUCUUAAUCUAGUUAGACAAUUUUCACAUUUUUCCUAAUUCCGAAUUUCAUGAAAAAUAAAAAAAUGUCUUAGAAUAAAUUAGUUCCAUUCUUUAGAAUAAAUUGCAUGCUUAUUAGGAAAAUAAAAACCAUGUGCACAUCAUAUAGAAUUAGGUUCAUACAAUGCACGUCAUUUAGUGAUUUUUGUUAGGUUCAUUUAAUUAGAAAUUACAUGUCAUUGGAAUUAGGUCAUUUAGUUAAUAUUGCAUUGCAUAUUUAAAUGUUGCAUUUCUUUAAUUUCGAAUCCCAUAGAAAAUACAAAAAAAUGAUUUAGAAUAAAUCAUCUCAUGCUUAGAAUAGACUACAUGCUUAUUUAUGUCAUAUCGCUUAGGUCAUAUAGCUAAGUCAUGUUGCUAUGUCAUAUCAUUUCAUGUUAAAUUAGUGGCAUGCAUUGCAUAAAGCAUGAUUCUCAUUAAUUAAGUGAAAACAAAACAAAAAUUGCGUGUUAAUUAGAAACCAUAUCUAAGGUUGUUGAUGUGGAUUUUAAUUUAACAUUGCAGAUGCUUUCGUUGCUUUGAGGUAAGUCCUGCAAUUUAUUUUUUGCUUUACUUGAGUGUUAAAUUGGUGGUUUGCGCACCUGCAUGAACACCUCACAUGUUAGGGAAUUAGUUUAAAAUCAAUCCAAACUCCUUGCCAAACAUUUUUCAAAAUUAAAAGAAUGGUACCGAAAGGGCAUUAAAGAAAUCUAGUGUAACCAAGUCCCCGUACCCAUAAUCUCUGGUUCGUAGAAGUAAAAUAAUUCUAGUGUCUAAUCGACCUACCAUAAAUUGAUUAGUGGCGACUCCUAAUUGAAAAUCAAUUGCAUAUUAAAAACUUGAAUCUAAGUCGCGAAUUGGUAUGGGCUUGGGAAAGCCCGCGUUAAGUCUAGGCUUAACAAUCCAUUAGCCAAACCCUAGGUGGUUCACACCUCGAAAAAAAUUGGUCGCGACACCAAGUCUUCAGGUAAGGAUGAAAGAAGCUCGGUUUAAUCUUGGAAAGUAUCUACGAAUCCCAAGACAAAAUAAACAAGUCAAAAACAUCAGUUACAUGAACGCAGUUACUUCAAGUACAGAGAUAAUGGGAGAUGCACAUUUUGCUGCUCGGAAUCUAAAAGACCUAAUGACUUCAAAAGACUGAACUACGUUUAUUAGUUUCAGUCUUAUAAAGGGGACGGAAAGACCUGAGUCUGAGCCUCGUUGCCCGACACAAUGUUCCCCAGUCUUUAAGAGUCGGCACCUGGACUUCAGGUGAUGCACACCUGCAAAAGGAACCACAUAGGAAAAGAAACUGAAUCGGUGCCAAAAAAUAAAAUGAUCCGCUUAAAACAAAGUUUGACAGCACAAUCAGUGAAAUAUCCACCCUAGUGUCGCUUUGUCUAUACCAAGAUCCAAUCAGUAUUCAUGAAGCUUAAGUAAAACCAAUUAACAAAAUCUUUUCAGCCAGUGAAGUAUGCUUAACUAAGAGCACAAAUGGUUCGAUUGUUUUUUUUGGUAAAAGGUAAGAAGUAUUAUAGCUAGAGAACCAAGGAGCUAUACAAAAAGCACAGCAACACAGUCAAAUGGUUCGAUUGUUUUACUAUGCUCCUUUCACAAAUCGGUCUUCUGUAUUUGCAUGCCCAGACUAGAAAUAUAUGCAGCAAACCCGAUAUUCUUUCACCAUGCUAGACAACGCAUAUAUUUCAUCUUACACGAGAAGUUCUAGAAGCCGUGGCCAAACUCCUGCUUCAAUCACAGACUGGAUAUUAUGAUCUGAGCCAUCACAAAUAUAAGACAGAGUCCAGCACGUGUCAAUCAAUACUUCUCCAUCUUCUGAAUUAAUGAGGCACCUGAGGGUAGGCAAGGCCAGAUUGACCUAAAGGCAGCAAAGACAAAUCAUAAUCCUCCAAAAAUACUAAUAUACUAUUUUAGAAUUCUGAAAGACAGGAUCGGAAAUUUUAAUCGUUAAAUUAUAUGACUCAAGUUCACAUUCAAUUCAAAAGUAUAAGAUGAUUCAACUCUAAGGUGUUGGAGCAGAAUCCUUUCAUCUCAGUCAUGAUUCUUUCACAACUUGGUUCAGUUUACAAUUGAAGCACAGGGACUCAAUCAUAUGGUGCAAUCCCCUGAAGAGCCUCACCAACCUUUGUGGUUUGGCUCAUUCUAACAACUUAAAAAUGUGCUGACUAAAAUUUAAAUCGCAUGUGAUUCUAACUUGAAAUUCAACAAUUAAAUCAGCUAAGCCACUCGAUUGGGACUUAAAACCUCAUAAUAGACAUACUAAUACAUUAGGUAUAAAAGUUAGAUUUUGAUAAUUUACCUUGUGAUCCAUGAACCGAGAAGCAACAUUUCUUUUCCUUCCCUCAAUCCUCAUAAAGUCUAUUAGAACAAUAUAACUUCUCCAAUCUUUUUUUGAACAAUCGAAAGUCAUAACAGGAUCAACAUCAUUACAUUUCUCAGCCAAGGGAGACACCACUCGGAUCUACUUUGUGUUUGUGCGUGUGCAUGCAUGUGUGUGUGAGAGAGAACUUAUGGGUAACGAAAGAACUGCAUUUUGACAACUUCCCGUUUUACCUUUAAAUGACAAUUGAUUCUCAUCAAGUUUCAUUAAACUUGUUACAUUUAAUUUAUUUUCACGAAUCCCAAAAUGUGCAGUUUUGAGGAGCUAAGCUUCCUUAUUCAGCUAGUCUAGAUCUCAUCAGUGAAUCUUAUGGUCCACAACUCAGUUUGAUGAAAAACGUGAUUUGCCACUGAUGUUUCAGAGCUCAUUUUGAUGACUACAGAAAUUACAAACGAUUCCUUUCCUGUUCAAAUGGAGGCAGAGGCUUCCAACUGUAUAAGUUGGAUAAAAUCCAAGCAAUGCUCUUCAUCAGGGGCAAUCCUGGAUGUUUAUCCAAUUGAGCCAAUAGUGGGACUAGAGCGCCUCCACUUAAUACAUGAUCCCUGCAAUUUGGUGAGUCACCAGCAAUAUUUGCCAGUGCCCAGACAGCCUGCUUGAUUCAUGGGAAUCUAGGUUAGAUAAUCUCAUCCAUCAUAUUUACCAAUUUGUUUUAAGAAAUCAACUCAAAGAAUUGUCACGAGAAAAAACAAAAGACCCAACCUGUUCUCGAGCAUCAGCAAACGUAGAGCGAAGAAGUUGCACGAAUUUAUGGAUAGAUCCGAGUUGGAUGAUGAGUCGUACGUGAUCUGAUGUCCCAGAAGCUAUAUUGGCCAACGCCCAUGCAGCCUCAGACUGAAGAUGAAGAAAGAUUAUGACAUGAUGGCAAAUGAUUUCCUUUUGCCUGCAAAAAUCUAAGAUCUCAGUGAAAGAACAUUGAUAAAAACUAAAAGGACCAUACUUGUAGUAGAGGAAAAGCGCUCUCAUCAAGGAACUCCACGAGUCGAGGGACAACUCCUGCUCCGACAACCGCAUUGAUUGGAGGGCUCUCACCUUCGCAUAUAUAUGAUUCGUCAUUGAUCAUGCAAACAUUCCAAUAACAAUCAGGCUAAAGGAAAACAAUUAAAGGAGGAGGGACAGAGGGCUUUGAAAUUACCAGUCGAUAAUAACUCCCCGAUCAGUGUGGUUCCUUUUCAAUGCUGGGAAGAAUCAUCUGAUUGAAUCAUUGGCAGAAGAUCUUCCAAUUGCCAUAAAAACUUAUAAAAACUUAUCAGAAAUGAUUAUUUUUUAUUUUGUUCCGGAGAACUGAUUUUAAGCAUUUUAAGGGUGCGUUUGGGAAAACUUUUGGAGAAAGUCUUUGAGAAAAUAUAAAGGCCUUUGAGCUAAAAGGAUUUUUGGAAAUGCAAAUUGUAUUUGAUAAAUCGUAUUUGUGAAAGUCCAUUGUAAAGUAUAUUUGAGCAAAAUAGCGUUUGGACAAAUUAACUUUGCAAAAGACUUUUAUUAUUAAAAAAAAAGGAAAAAAAUGAGAAUUGGUUGGUUAUCGCCGGUGAGGGGUAGGCGGUCCGGUGAGGGAUAGGCAGGCGGUCUGGCGAGGGGCAGGCAGCCGGCUAGGGUCGCUGCGACUAGAUCGAGUGGCCGAUCUAGGUCACAGCGACCCUCGCCGGAACGUCGCACAACCCGCCGCACCACGACCUCCGUGUGGAGGUGGCUAGGGCCGCUCGAUCUGGUCGUGGCGACCCCGAUCGCAACCAGAUCAUCACAACCAGAUCGCGCAAUCUCAAUCGCACGAUUUGGGCUGCCGGAGGUCGCGCGACCCAGAUCGGUCGUGGCAACCUCCGGUGACCCAGAUCUGUGUGCGAUUUAUGUCGCCGGAGGUCGCGCGGCCCGGAUCUGGGUCGCGGCGACCUUCGGUGACCCAGAUCUGCCGGGGGUUGCAGUGUUGCCGGGGUUGCAGCGAUCUGCAACCCAGAUCUGGAUGGUUGCCGGGAGUUGCAGCGGUCGCAGCGACGCGAAGCGACUCACAGGGGGUCGCCGAGGUCAUGCGACUGGCCGCCGACGAUCGCCGUGACGCACCGGCCUCUUGCUGACCUCUGUCCAAUUCGUCGCUUGCCAUGGGCAGCUCCGCGCAACUUCGUCGACCAUCCUCAACGAAGAAGAAGAUGAAUAGUAACAAGGACAAAACUGGAAAAACGAAAUGUUUUUUUUUUUUUUUUUUUUCGGUAAAGGUAAUGGAUAUAUAGCUAAGGACAAUAAUACAAAAGCGGCACCAAAGACUUACACUCUAACUACAGUAAGUAGAAAGAAUGGAAGGGAGCCGAAGAAAGAGCCAAAGGCAAAGAGAAACAGAUACAAGAAAAACAGAAAGCGACCAACAAGGUCACUAAAACAGAAGUCACGACAGCCAACACGAAACCUUGGCAAUUCAAAAAACGAAGAGACCAAGAACGGAGAGCUGAAGUAACUUGAAGCAGGAACGCGAUCCAAGGAAUCUAUAGAGUCGAAGUACGGCCUGAGAAAAUGGAGGGAUGAAAGCCCCAGUUCCUCUGAAGACACCUGUUUCUCGGGAUAUCCGGAACAUUUGAGAAGGUAAGCGCUUUCUCCUUUACAACUUUGAUCAGGUGAUUUUUCAACGCAGAGACGACCAAGGCUUCCCCACGGAAUAUAAUAUCAUUAUUUUUUUCCAAAUCAAGUAACAUAAGGCAACAAAAGAAAAUCUAGCAAUACAGUAGAAGAACCCUUUACCGGAUAAGAAUUUAAUAGCCCAAGAUAGGUUAUCCACCCAUAGUCUCGCUCGCCAAGGUAAGUUACACCUUGUCGCCCAAAAGAAAGCAAGAGAAGCCGAGACAUGGCAAUAAAAAAAUAGGUGAUUGAUGGAAUCCGGAACUUCAUUGCAUAAUGCACAAGUGCAAAAGUCGAUUCUUCCACAAGAGAGAAGGAGCUCCUAGGUAGGCAAUCCGUUCCUCGUAAUCAGCCACAAAUUAAACUGGAAUCUAGGAGCAAUAUCAGAGUUCUAGAUAAGAGAAGCCCAAGGCACCCGGUUUUUUUCUAUUCUAAUGCAGUCCCAAGCAGAAGCCACCGAGAAGGAUCCGGAGGGAUCCCAACUCCAAAAGAAAUGAUCCAGAGUAGAGGAUGAAACCGGAAUGGAGAAUCCCAAGCUUUGAAGGAAAAGCCUGAAGGAAUUGCCCAUAGGGGAGAGAAGAUCCGCGACUACUGCAUUCUUUGGAAGACCAGAUGUUUCAAUAAGAGGAAGUGGAAUAAGCUGAUCAAGAGGGCCCUCUGAAAGCCAGCGAUCAAACCAUAAGGAAGCCGAAAGGCCAUUUCCAAUUUUCCAAAGAAAUGAUGACCGAAACUCUGCUCUUAGAAGUAAGAUUUUUUUCCAAGCCCGAGAGCAAACAGAAGGUGAGGAAGAGAUCCAAAAGUUGUCCCAUUUUAAGAAAGUGGAGUGAAUCCAACGACACCAUAAGGAUUCUUUGUCUGUGAAAAGAAUCCAAAUGUAUUUAAGCAUCGCUGAUUUGUUACCGUCUUUCAACUUACGAAUACCCAAUCCUCCUUCAUUUUUAAGAAGGCACACUUCAUCCCAUGCAACCUUAGCCUCGCCUCUGCCAAGAGUGGCGCCUUUCCAUAGAAAUUGUCUCAAGAUUUUCUCGAUACUAUUUAGGACCGAAACCGGCAAAGUAAAAACAUUGGACCAAUACGCUUGAAUAGAAUGUAAGACUGACCUUAUAAGUUGCAGCCUACCCGCAAAAGAGAGGAAGCAUUGAGUGCAUGACUGGGCCUUGGCAGUAAUCCGAACAAUCAAGGUCAUGCAAUCUGCUUUCCCAAGUCUGGAGGAGAUGAUCGGUACACCUAAGUAUUUCACUGGGAGCUUUCCUUCUUGAAACCCAAAUGCCAUAAGAAUAUAGUUGCGCAGCGAAGGAGCCCCACUCGAUAAAAAGAUUUCGCUUUUGUUCUUAUUCGGAAGGAGCCCACUCCAAGAAAAAAAUAGAUUGAGGCCCUUUUUCAGAAGAGUAAUGGAAGGCCAGUCAGCCUGACUGAAGAGGAAUACAUCAUCAGCGAAAAAGAGAUGAGAAAGACGGACUGGUUUACAUCUCCAAUAAUACUUAAACUCCCUUCGAGCAGUAUUUGCAUUCAAUAUUCUAGAGAAAACCUCCAUUACAAGGGUGAAGAGGUAGGGGGACAUCGAAUCGCCCUGGCGAAGCCCCCUCCCACCCGUAAAGAAGCCAUGCAGUUCUCCAUUAAUAGAAAUAGAGUAUUUCGGGGUCCGAACACAAACCAUAAUGAGUCGAGUAAGAGGUUCAGGAAAGCCAAAUGCCAACAAAGUAGUUUGAAGAAAGUCCCAAUCAACAGUAUCGAAGGCUUUCUGAAAAUCAACCUUUAUUGCGCAUUUGGGAGUAUAAGGUUCUAGAUGAAAACCAUCAAAAAGCUCUUGCGCCAUCAGUAUUGUCACGCCCCGAACCUCGAGCGCGCCAACAUCCCACCAUGGUCAUGCAAAUGCGACAUUCCCAGGUAGUGUCGCCGACCCCAUACAUUUAUUAAUGCGCAAGCGGAACGUAUUAUAAAACCCCUGACAAUAAAAUACGGGAUAGAAAAGCAAGAAGCAAAACCACAACAUAACACUUCCAUAAUUUAACAGAAUUACAAAGAGAGGUCUACGGCCAAAAGUCUACAAAAGACCGGCUCUUAAAAAUGAAUUGUCCUACGACCUACAAGUCGGACACGUUAUCCAAUCUUAUGACUUCACCUCUGCAACUCCUCAAGGCCAACCAAAGCUAUCUGGUCGCUCCGUCCACCAGGGACCUGAAAUUUUAAUCCCACAACCGGGAUGAGACGAUGUCUCAGCAAGUUCAACCCCCUAAACCCUUAUUAGAAAGAAAAUACGCCCAAGGGUGGCCUAGCCACAUCACACAGAGAACUUACCUCGCCUCAAUUCCUUCCUGCAGGUUAGCACAAUUUGUAUCACACAAUCUCAGGUAGUAAUAAUAAUUCAAACAAUUGGAACGCCAUCACUUUCAUAUAAAUCACGAUCGCACUUAGCACGCAUUCCAAUUAUUAUUCACUGCCACACAAAGGCAUAGCCUACUCGCGGAUCGGUUAUCUACUAACAUUACGGCAUUUCUAGAAGAAUAAAGGUCCAGUCGGUCUCGCCACUACUGCGACCAAGCCACGUCAUUCUCUUGACGGCAUUUCUAGAAGAAUAAAGGUCCAAUCGGCCUAGCCACUACUACGACCUGAGCCACGUCACUCUCCCUUGACGACAUUUCUAGAAGAACAAAGGUCCAGUCGGCCUAGUCACUCUCCCUUGACGGCAUUUCUAGAAGAACAAAGGUCCAGUCGGCCUAGCCACUACUGUGACCCGAGCCACGUCACUCUCCCUUGACGGCAUUUCUAGAAGAACAAAGGUCCAGUCGGCCUAGCCACUACUGCGACCCGAGCCACGUCACUCUCCCUUGACAGCAUUUCUAGUAGAAUAAGGAUCCAGUCGGCCUAGCCACUACUGCGACCCGAGUCUUUCAACCAGCACACAACAAUUCAAUAAUUAAUUGCACAAAUCAUCACUCAAUUUGUAAUAUCUAAUCAUCAAUUUCAUAUUCUGAAUACACAGCAGCGAUCAGCACAAAAUUCUGAGAAUUUAGGGUCCCAACUUAAUUUUCGGAAUUUAUUUAAUAACUAAAUUUAUUUCGAAAAUUAAUUAAAUAAUAAUAUCCCUAUCUUUCACAAUCCACACUCGAUUUAUAAUAUCCAAUCAUCAAUUUCAAAAUCUGAUUACACAGCAGCGACCGGUACGAAAUUCUGAGAAUUUAGGGUCUUGACAAAAUUUUCGGAAUUUAAUAAAUAAUUAAAUUUAUUCCGAAAAUAAUUAAAUAAUAAUAUUUUAAUAAUUUCGAAUAAUAAAAUAUUAUUAAAUCAUUAAAGAAUUUCGAAAUAUUUAUUUAAUCCCAAAAGUAAUUCAUUUAUGUCAAAUCAAGGCUUAUUUUAAAUAAACCCACUUACCCUUAAUUAAGCACACUUUAAAUUAAACCACCACCUUAAUCAAAUCUACUCUUAAUUAACCUAAACUAACAACCUAAUAAUACUUAAUAUAAACUAAACCUCCUUAAGCAUAAUUAACCCUCUAAGCGAGGUUUAGUGAGCUAAAUUCACCGGAUUAGCGAGCCGAGCGGACCAAAACGACGGGGACGACGCGAGGAUCGACUUUCCUCAAAGCGGGCCGAGCAUCCGGGCUCGGGAAGGCGGCCAAAACGGGCCAAACACCCGCUGCCAUACCCAUUUUUCCAGAUUCUGUUUGGGGCCGAUGGAGGGCGGAUCCGGCGCCGGAAUGGGCGGAGGAGGGUAGGCGGCAGCUUGGACGGGCUGAAGGGGAGGUCGACGGCGGCGGAGGGAGCUCCGGCGAAGGCCCGAGCUGCUGGAACGCAGGCUGGCACGAACGAGGGCGACGAGCAGGCGAGCUGACCGGCGGAGCGGCGUGCGGACGGCGCGGUGCGGCGGACGGCGCGCGAGUGGCAAACGGAAGUCCGGCUCCGGCGGCUUGCUAUUCGAUCUUCGCUGCUGCUUUCGCUCUCAGAUCUGCUGGAGACGUCGAGCAGAAACCGGAGACGGAGAAGAGAGGAGAGAGGGAGGCUGAGGUCCGAGCGGCGAGGCGCGGCCACGACGGCGGGCGGACGGGCGAAGGCGGCGACGGCUCCGGCUGCAGCUGCGACGGUUGCUGGCUUCUGGUUGCUGGGUUCGAAGCUGGAGAAGAAGAUGGAGAUGGAGAGUGGUCGCACGGGAGAGAGGAAGAAGAGAGGGAGGAGAGAGAAGGAGGGGGCCCUUUUCAUUUUCUUUUUCUCUUUCUUUAAUCCAACAAAAAUGGCCCACCAUGACCUAGGAUGACAUCACACUCCACUAUCUCCCACAACCUUAUUCCAAUGGUUGCAAUUCCAUUUUCCGUCGGGGCAUAAAACUUUGUACAUCCAAUUUCUUCAAUUCUCAUCAAUUCUCUCCCAAUUGAAUCAAAUUGAAGUCCAUAAAAUUAAUCCAAUGUCACCACACUCUAGUUCACAUCUUCACUUGUCCAUAGAACCAACUUAAGUCUCAAAAGCGCGACCAAAGACGAGCCUACUAAUUUCUUGAGCCAAAUUAGCCAUUCUCUGAUUAUUUUGCUGAAAAACUCGGUUUGCAUGAAAAAUCUUCUGAAGAUUAGUCAAUGUUCCUAAAAUGAUUUGUGACACACCCAGACUUCCAAUUUCUGAAUUCGAUCUCAAUUUCACGGUUAAUUUCACUUUGGCAUGAUACUAGUGCGGCCCAACCUACCGGGUAGCUUUUAGAAAUUUUCAUGCAUUUGACCUGUGGUUGAUCAUCGGAAGCCACAAUGUACAUUUUUGAAACAUUGGCGACUUUCGGUUGUCGGGGUAAUCUCAAGAUUUCAAAUACGAACACAGGGUACCCAAUCGAUAGAAAAGUCGGUCCAGUGUCGAUCGACAAGAAUUGUGCGAUCUUGUGGAAUCACCCACACUCGAUCACAUGCCUCUGUCGAGUCAACCUAUUUCCGGUCUCUAAUCGAUUUUUAUUUGUGCUGUAAUGACCCUUGUAGAUUAGCUCGGUCGAAAGAUCGCUUCCUGGUCAAAUUCUCAAGUCUGAUGCAUUAGAAUUUCUUAACGGCUUCACCUGAUAGAUUAGUUUUCACAUGAGUGGCCGACUCAAGGAAAAGAACUAUAUGCGUGCCAACGAAAUGCCCGUCUCAAUUUAUUGAAAAUAGAAUUGGAAAAUUGAGAUGUCACAAGUAUAUUAUCCCUAAUCCUUCUCCCUUUAACAAAUGCAUUCUGGGAAGAAUCAACCAAAUCGCUCAAGAUAACAGCUAGGCGAUUAGCCAAGAUUUUUGUGAUGAGCUUAUAAAUAGUAUUACAGCAAGCGAUAGGUCGGAAAUCAGUCACAGCACAAGCAUUAGGCACUUUAGGUACCAAGGCAAGAAUGGUACUGUUUACCUCUCUCAAAAGACGGUCUGAAGAGAAGAAAUCAGAAACCGCCUCCGUCACCAACGGGCCAACAGUCCCCAGCAAGUCUUAAAGAACUCAACAGUAAAGCCGUCAGGACCCGGCGCUUUUCCUUUUGCGAGAGAAAAGAGCGUAUCUUUAAUUUCAUAUUCCAAGACCGGUCUAGAAAGGGAGAAUACCUGAUCAACCGACAAAGGUCUUCGAAUGAACUCUUUAACGUCCUGCAAUGAAGGCUUGGAUAGCACCGUUUGAGGAGAUAAGAGAUCAUCGAAGAAAGAGACAAAAACCUGUGGAACCGCUAAAGGGUCACUGAUCAAAGCACCCGAAGAAUCCUUAAGUGAGAGGAUUCUAUUCCUAAGCUGCCUUCUCUUGACGGAAUUAUGAAAAAAUUUAGUAUUUCGAUCACCUUCCUUGAGCCAGCGGAUUCUUGAUUUAUGCAUGUAAAAAGAUUCCUCAUCUCUAUGCAAGUUCACAAAGAGCUUACGGUGCGCCUUCUCAAGAUCAACAAAGUCAGAGUUGGUUGGAUCAAGAUGAAGAUCAAGCUGAGCAAGACAAAGAGCUUCUCUAGCUUCCGCUGUCCUCACUGAAAUAUUGGAGAACUCCUCCUUAUUCAGUUGUUUGAGCCGGCUUUUUAGCACCUUCAGCUUGGAUACUAGUUUGAACAUAGCAACCCCAACAACCGGAGUAUCCCAAGCUUGCUGAACGAUGGAAGGGAAGUCAGAAUGCUUAGCCCAGAGAUUAAAAUAUUUGAAAGGCCUUCUUUUAAAAAACGGGUUAAGGACUCUGACAACCAUGGGCAAGUGAUCCGAGAUGCCCGGAUUCAGGAACGAGGCCUCAGAGAAAGAGAAUUCCAUAUUCCAUUUAGAAUUAACCAAAACGCGAUCGAUUUUCCUCAUUUUUCUAGAAGUACCAGCAGAGGUCAACCAAGUAAACCGAAGGCCAACAUACCUAAGAUCACCCAAUUUAGUCUGAGCUAAGCAGUUUCCGAAUUCAUCAAAAUAAGGAAUCCAUAGGUUGGAGCCACCAAAUCGGUCCGAAGGAUCUUUAAUGGCAUUAAAAUCUCCAGCUACGAACCAAGGCAUAUCCUGCAUAAGAUUAUUCAUACGGAGCAAGUCCUCCCAAAGAGGCCGGCGGUGAUUGAAAUAAUGUUCUCCAUAAACAAUAGACACGCAACAAACCAUACCAGUCAGGGUGUAUGUAAGUCUACAAUGUACAGCUUGAUCAUUGAUCAACAACGUUUCAUAGCUAACAUACUCAGGGUUCCAGCCCACCCAAAUUCUUCCACGAGGGGAGAAAUCAUAAUUUGCAACUCAAUUCCAACCAUUCAAAAAGGAGGAGGAUAUAGAUUCAAAAGAAACUUCAGGAACUUUAGUCUCGAUAAGGCCAAUAAGGCACAGAUUGUGGGUGGAGACAAAUCUCCUAACUUCUGCCCGCCUAACAGGGUUCAUGAGGCCUCUUAUGUUCCAAGCACCUAUAUACAUAUUUAUAAAGAAGAAGGAGAAGAUUACCUCUUCUUGGUGGCCCUUUUCCGACCCACAGUCGGAUUAGGAGCCACAGAAGAAGGAGGAUCCGGGCAUAUAAGCAAGAGCUUAUCUUGGAGUGUCUCAAUCGGGACAUUUUUGUGAGGGGCUUUCGGAGAAGGGCAUCCAAUCGAUAGCAGGUCCUCAUUGUCCGAAACGGCAUGAAUGCUGGAGUUACCAAUCUCGUCCGAACAAUCAGAUAGAAUCAAAGGAGGAGAGACGACUUUCGCUUUUGCCAAAGAAGAGCUUUCAACAACCUUCGAGAAAGAUAAUGAGAUUCCAGGAGUCUUGUGAGGCAACGAAGCAGAACCAACUUCCCUAGAUACAGGGCCUUUUAGUUUUAGCUUUAGAGAAUGCCCCCCUUCAGUGGGCAGGGCUAAACUAAAAGAUGCAGCUCCUUUCUCGACCACCUUCUUAUUUCUUUUUACUUGCUUCCAUCCCGGGUCAACAGUAGCAUGAGGGAUUGCAGCAGAGACAGUAGGCAAAGGCAACUCCUGAGCUCCUUCGCAUCCAGAAGCCAUUGCAGUAGAAUUGAGAGAGCUCAGAGAUUUAUCAGCAGUAGAAUUUGUUACCUUAUGCAUUUCAGGGAGGGUCUCCUCUGCUGGAAUAGGUCCAGCAUCACGCUUCUUAAUAAACAAGGGGUUAUCAUGUGUUCUGUCCGAAGACUGAGCGAACUGAGGAUGCGAGCUUGCUUGAACUGCAGGCCGAGAAGAAGGGUUAGGAGAUGAAGUCCCAUCUUGAGGAGCAUGGGAUCUAGCGAUCAAAGAACGUUGAGCAUUUGCAGUAGAGAGCUGAGCAACACUAGCACUGCAUUUGUGGCCAAAGACACCACAACCUACGCAAGCCGUGGGUCUCCAUUCAUAUUCUACUUUCACCAAACACGAAUUGCCCUGGUGAACCAAUUCAAUGGACUCACAUGAAGGCUGCUUUGUUGUAAUCUCUACACAUACUCUAGCAUAAGCCAGAGCUUUCAUUUGAUUAGUACUUGUGUCUACAUAAAGCAGUUUACCAACCUUACUUGCAAUCUUACUGAUAGCCUGAGAAGACCAGAACACGGGAGGUAAGUUUUUAAGCCUUACCCACACAGGAACUGUAAGGUGGGAGUCCUUCCUCAAAUCCAGGGCCGGUCUCCAUUGUUGCAACACAAAAGGCACCUUUGAAACGGUAAUAAGGCCUCCUUCCAACACUUUUCUCCGGAACUCCCAAUUCGGAAUAUGGAAAUAGAAAAACCCCUUCCCAUCAGCCAUUAGUUCGACCAAAUUAGGCCCCCACGCCUUUUUGAAAGCUACUUCUGUAACUUUAAAAGGAAUUCUUCUGCCCAGAUAAUAUCCAACGAGACAAUCCUGAAGUUUCGGGUCAGCAGCCUGCAGAUCAUCAUCAAUCAUUUCCACAGAUGGCCCAUCAUUGACUGGAGGAAUGAACUCCAAGUCGUAGCCUUUGGUGGCUACUCUGGCCACAGCCACACUCGCCCAAUUGCGCAGGUUUGAGCUUCUUGAGACUGCUCGCUGAGGUCACUUCGAAUCUGAUCUACCUUUGCUUCUCCCUCGUGGCCCAUCUGGAUCACGAGUGGAACGGGCUUGAACGGAAGGCUGCUUCGAACCAGCAAGGGGCCGAACAUAACCACCCAAGUUCUCAUUAGCAACACCGCCACGAGAGGAGGGGCCAUGGUCAGGAACGGGAGGGCUACGGACAGCCCUUUCCCCCUCAAUUUGGGCUGAAGAAGUUUCGGGAUCCAUAACAGCAACGAAUUGCAGAGAAAGGGCGAGCAAACCCUAACCAAACUCGGCCAUUUGAAGCCCAAAGAGAUCACGUACCAGGGAAAACUUAAGGGGGGUUGAAGAGGCCUACCAAGCGCCCCAAGUCGCCAACAACUAGCUUCAACGAACUGUCAGCAGGAACAAGGCUUCAGACGCCCUUUUUUGAGAGCUUCGGAGAACAGAGCGACGCACGGGAAAAGCGACACAAAAGGGCUGAGGUCGGAGACGGAUACGCGGGCGCUGGGCAACGGGAGCAGUGAAGGCAACGUCACUCGGAGCUCCGGCGACGGAGCCGCUGGUGGCUGCAGCGAGAGAAGCGACGUUCGGCAGCGCGGGCGUCGGCUGAGAGGCGCUCGGGCGGAGGGCAGGGGCAGAGGCGCAGCGACGGCGGAGGGUAGGGACGAAGGCAUAGCGUCGGGCAAAGGCAGAAGCAUGGACGCUGGGCGAAGCUGCUGAGGAGGCAGGCGAGUGGGCGCUCGAUGUAGCAACGAGGCAGAGCUUCUUGGGAUUCUUUUUCUUCGGAAAAACAAAAUGUUAGUGAGGACAUUUGUGGAAGAAAUUUUUUUAGCUUAUUCUCCCUCAACCUUCCGAGAAGGCCGAAUGCCCAAGGCAGCCCCCAACCUGCCUUGGGCUUUCAGCUUUGAGAAGACUUGCCUUUGGCAAAAGCAAGUCAAAAAAAAUUUGCCAAACACUGAAUAUUUGGCCCAAAGGCCUUUAGGGGUUUAAAGAUCCUUGGCAAAGUGGUUGCCAAACGCAGUCUAAGUCGUUUAGUAACUAUUCAAAAUUUAUGAUUCUGAAAUAGAUUUGUGUUUUGUAUCGUGCUCAUUAAUUCUGUUUCAAAUCAAUUUAUUUUAAUUUUUAAAUAAUUUUUUUACUUUUUACUUUUUCUUUUUCUCUUAUUCUUCUUCUUCUUGUGACCCGUUGCCGGACCGGCCACCAGCCAAAUGAGGGUUGGUGACCUCAUCGGAGCGUCGCCGGCCCUCGGCGAGGCUGGCCCUCGUCAGCCGAGCCUCGCCGAUGGCCAGGUCGGCCUUGCUGGGGCUAGCCCAGCCCCGGCGAGCUCGCCGGACUGGCAGACGGCGGACGGCGGCCGGCAACUAGCGACCGGCUGUCGGCAGACGGUGGCGGACAGUGGUGGACGGCGGUUGCAAGAUGGCCGAAGGGAAAAAGAAGAGUUGUUAAUUUUAAUUCUCAAUUCUGAUUUUGAAACAAGAAUCAACUUUUUUUUUAUUCUUGAUUUCACUCUCAAUUUGUUCCUAUAAACAAAAAUUUUAUUAAAUGCGAUUCUACACCAUUUUGAGAAAAAAAAAAUCAGAAUUUGGUCAUGUUUGGACCUUGCAGUCCCACCUUUUCUUUUUCUGCAAAAAGCAAGUGUCCCAGAUUUCUUAAUUGCCUCCCUUGAUCAACCCCAUUUCUCUCUUCUUCUUUUUUGUGGUUUCCCCCCAGCAUUUUAGUUUCUAUAAAUAACAAGUCUUCACCAUUAACAAGACCGAUGAGUCACCCAGCAAACUAAGCUACCCAGUGACCGAAACGCACUCCAGAAAAUGAAGAGGAACCGAUAGAGAAAGGUUACCAACAAUUGAAAAUAGUCAAAAACCAGGUAGAUUGCAAAGACUGGUUGAGCACACUCGUCAACGGAAGGACGAAUUAAAACACACGAGAGAGAGAGAGAUGGAGAGAUAAAAUGAGAAAGGAAAACCUUGGGUUGAAUUUGAUGAAGGUGCGCAUUGUCAUUGAGAAUUGUUCUUCCUGAUUUGCACCAGCUUCUCCUCUCUCUUUCUCCUCGCUUCCUCGCCGCUCACGCCCUUCCCGUACCCGUUCUUGCGCGUCGCACUGGAUGGUCUCAGAGACAUUGCUCACCUCCCUCUCAACUCCCUCCCCCCCCUAAGGUCCCCAGUAGCGGGUCUGUCCUCGGCAAGCUCCAAGAAAGUGAUCAACGUAGCAAAAGGAGGAGGCAGAGAGGAAGUAUGGCAAGUGGGUAGGAAAAAGCUGCCCUUUUUUUGAUAAAAGAAUAGCAGAAGACGAAAUUAACAAAAAAAAAUAAAAAGCAGAAGACGAUAGACACCGGCUCGGGCUUCGUGCAGAGUGGAGAACGGGAGAGAGAGAGGGAGACGGUCUGCAGCGGAGAGAGAGCGUCGCAGAGGAGAGCAGAGGUGGGCCAGGUCUACAGGAGAGAGAGAGAGCAGAAGAGAGGGAACCAAAAUUUUAAAUCGCUGAAUGCGAGGCGACACGUGUCAGCUUCUGAACGAUUUUACGUUUGGCUUAAAUGGGAGUGUAAAACCACCUAAUAUUUUCUAACUAAUUAGGUUGCGUAUCAGAACAAAAAAAAUAUAUAUAUAUAUAUAUGUUUGGUAACACCAAAUUGAUUUUCUAUUUCGGAGAAUAGAAAGUUAGUCUAAAAGUAAAUUUGGAGUAAAAAAGAGAAACAAAAAAAAAUUGCUUAUGUUCCCGGAAAUAAUUUAUAUAAAUAAGUAAUUUUUUUUCUUUUAUUCUUCUCUCUUGUCGUGGCCACUUUCAACCACCUGGAGCCACUGCCAACCGCCCCCGUUGCUGGUCGUCGGCCGCCAAUUGCUAGCCUCUGCCACUGUCAGUCGUCGUCACCGACCUCCUCUGCUGCUGCCGCCGCCGGCUUCCGCCGCUGGUUGCCCACCGCCGCCGCAUGACCACCCGUUGCCAGCCGCUCGCCACCCGCCGCCGCAUGAUCGCUAGCCACCGACCGUCGGUAGCCGAUGGGCUAUGCGGCGGCGGUCGGCAAUGACGGUCAAUGGUCGGUGGUCGUGUGGCGGCGACCAAGGGUAACGGCCGGUUGCGGUUGGCAGUCGACAAUCCGUGAAUAAGAAUAAAAAACGAAUAAAUAUAAAAAAGAAAUUGUUGCGUUACCAAACGCAUUUCUAUUCUUUUUCUAUUCCAAAAGUAGAAAUUUUGUGUAAUUACCAAACGGGUUUUUUUAUUCAGAAAUUGUUUCUCGGAAUAUAAAUAGAAAAGAACUAUUUCCGAAAAAAAAAAAACUCUUCCCCAAUCAAGAAAUGUUGUCAUGUGCAUCCUUAGUUGCCACUUGCCAAGUCUUGUUAGCUUGACUUUUUAUGUUGUGGGAUCAUAAAAUUCCAGGGCGGGUCGGUCCUUACCUCUCGAGCCUCUCCACCGUCGCGAGAGAGAGAGAGCAGAGCAGCAAUAAAUAAAUAACGGUGGAGCCCACAGUUGCUGGACCCACCUAACUUGGAGNNNNNNNNNNNNNNNNNNNNNNNNNNNNNNNNNNNNNNNNNNNNNNNNNNNNNNNNNNNNNNNNNNNNNNNNNNNNNNNNNNNNNNNNNNNNNNNNNNNNAACAAACCAAAUAAUAAAUUAUGAUAAAUGUUUCGAGCAGGUGGACUUAUCCGAUAUACCCAACCCCCUGCAAUCCCUAUCUAUCUUAACUAGUUAGCAAGACAAACAUUCUUGAGGAAACAAGGGACUCCCAUUCUUAAAGAAAUAACUGUAAAUUAUGUAAAAAUUCACAGCUACCAUCAUCUUAAGUUAAUUUUUGAAAAAAAAUACUAUGGAACACUUAUUUGUUACUUACCUAUGAUUUUCAGCAAGCUUAUUUACAAAUCCAUAGAAUGAUAUCGCCCUGUCCAGAUUUCUGCCUCUAUAUUCACUUUGGUGGGGGGGGGGGGGUUUGGGUUGUUCAAGGUGGCCGGGGUGGCUUUGCUGCGGUAGAGUUUCGGUUGUGAGACUUGAUGCGGAUCACCUCAACCCACCCAAUUGAUAUUUGCUCAUGUUAUGCUGACGUGGCAUCGUCUUGGAAGAAUACACCGGAUUGGUCGAAUUUAAUGGAGACAAUACGUUGAAUAUAAUUUCAAAACUUGUGCUAUCUUGUCGGUUCGAUUCCUAGCUGUGCUUGAGAAUUGCUUAUGCGUCUCUUGUUAUAUGAUUCUUGAAAAUUCUCUCUUUACCAGUAGUCGCAUCAGUUCGAGUUCCGAAAAAUUUCAUCUUUCUCGUGUUAGAACUCUCUCUCUCUCUCUCUCUCUCUCAAUACAGUGACAACAUACACGACGCAACCUACUCGAUCUAGAACAGCAGAGCAGGGAGAGAGAGAGAGAUCUGUGUUAGCGAAUCAGCAUAUCAUCUAUCGAUUCGCCUAUCUAGGGUUUAUCUUCGAGGUUAGGAAUUUGAGCGUGCCGGUACAUGGAAUUGGGGAAUGAUUCUCUUCGGGGCUUGUUAUCUUGAGUAUUGAGAUCGCGUAUCUAGGAUUUAUCUUUCUUGCUUUGCUUGCUUUGCGAUCUUGUAAAUCUGAGAUCCUGGGUUUUCAAUUUCCACCGUUCUAUGGAUUUCUUUUUUUUUUUGUGGAUUUUUCACUAUAGAGUUCUGUCGCGACCUCUUUUUUUUUUCGGCGCCCGCAAUCGUGUACGAGCGCCUAAGGAGGCUAAUGGCUCGGCUGAAUUUAAUUAUGCCCGGACUCUCCCAAGUCCACCAAUUCACGACUUUAAUAGUCUAAGUUUUUAACCUGUAAAUCAAUUUUUAAAUUGGAGUCGCCAUUAAUCGAUUUGGGGUGGGUCGAUUAGAAACCCAAGCGAAGUAUCGGGAGAAAUACUCGCUCCUGCGUAACCAGAGAAAUUAGGAUCGGGGACUUGAUUACACUAGUUAAUCACUAAUGCCCUUUCGGUACCUAAUCUUGUUUAAACCCUGAGGUUUUUGGAUGUUCGAGGGAUUUUCCAUGCAUUUUUUAGAGGAAAAGUAUUUUUCUCAUUUUUUGGACAUAAAAGGGAUUUUUUGGUAUUUUUUGGAAAAGUACAAGUCUUUUUGGCUUUUUCUGAAUUUUUUUGGCUUUUUCAUGAAUUUUUGGCUUUUUUUGGAUUUUUGGCAUUUUUUGGAAAAUAUGAAAUUUUUUUGAUUUUUUGAUUUUUUGAUUUUUCGGAAAAUAAAAUAUUUUUUUAAUAUUUUUUAAUAUUUUUGGAAAAUAAAUUAUUUUUGAUUUUUCUCGAUUUUUUAGAAAAUAAAACAUUUUUCAACAAUUUUUUAAUAUUUUUCGAUUUUCUGGAAAUUAAAACAUUUUUGAUUUUUUUUAAAUAAACCAUUUAUUUAUUAUUUAUUAGAAUAUUAAUUUAUAUUAAAAUAACAAAAUAAAACCAACCCGGGUCGGAUCCGCAGGUUGGGUCCGACCCGGGCCGGCGACCCAAACGCGGAUGGGCCCGCGUUGCGGGCCCGACUCGGAUUUUUGCCCCCCCUUUUUUUUUUUAAUAUUAAAACGACGCCGUGGCCCAAAAGCCCGUUUUCGAAAAGAAUCGGGCCAACCCAUUGACCCGGUUCGGCGAAACCCUACCCGAUUCGCCGAACCGGAUUUCCGCCGCCCAAAAAUCAUGGAAACCCUACCCGACUCGCCGACCCGGCUCCGACUCCAUGACCCGGCUUCCAACCUCCCUUGGCCUCGCGAAACCCUACCCGACUCGCCGACCCGGCUCCGAUUCGACGACCCGGAAAAUCGCAAACCCUAGGGUUUGCAAAUCCGCGGCACCGAGGGAGGAAAACCGAGGCAUUACGACGGCGAUGGCGACGGUGACAAACCGGCUACGGGGACGGCGAGGACGAGCAACAACACUGUUGCGCUGGUGUGGUUGGUGGCGACAUGGUCCGAGAGGGGGAAUGUGACGGCGAUAACGCGAUCGACGGCGGUGACGGUUACUGUUACCUGUCCGUGACGGGGUGGCAAAUGGUGUCGGUGACAGGGCAACUCGGUUUCCCGAUCUGGCGCUGCGUCGGUGGACCAAUCACGGCAACGGCUUCACAGGUGGGCACAACAACAAGCCGUCGAAGCAACGGCGUCGGGACUGAGGCGAACGGCUGCGGCACGGCGUCCGGCGGCAACAACAGCAGCAAAAAAAACCAGAUCUACUGCGUAGCUCUCGGCCGGACCCUCCUCGGCCUUGAUUCCUCCUCACUCAGGCCAGAUCCGAGCCUCCACCGGCCGGAUCUGACCUUCUCGAAGUCACUCGCCGCCUACCUUCCCCGAAGUCUCUCGGUGGAAGGUGGGCUGAGCUCGCGACUCGAGCUCUCUCCUGCGCUCGCCCUUCAACCCUUCCCGAUGUCUCUCAGUGAAGGAUCUCCGAGCUCGCCACACCCUUCGACGAUGCUUGCGGCCACCUAUUUAUAGGCGAAGGAACUCCGGUCGACGGAGGGGCUCGGUCGCCGGCCUCCAGCUUGCCCACCGGUUCCGCUCGGCUGAACUGGUGUCCCAUCGAGCUUUCUAGCGAAGCUCGCUCAGCAUUAAUGGCACCUGCGAUCUUAUCCCCUCCGGCCGACAUUGCCCUACACUCCUCGGCCGUAGGUCGUCCUUUGCGCGCGUCGCCGGCCACCGCGCGUGAGAUGCAAGCGACUGAGGAAGAAGAAGACAGGAGGAAGAAGAAGAAAGAAAAGGGGCCGGGCCAAGGGUGAAGGAAAAUGGGCCAUAUGGGCCACGCGGAGGGGGAAGAGAAAGGGAAAAGAAAAAGGGCUGGGCUUUUGCUUUUUUUUUGUUUGUUUGUUUAUUAAUUAUCUUAUUUAUCCGAAAUAAAAUAAAAACUUAAUAAAAUAAAAUUAACCUAAUUAAAAUUGAGGUGUCAACAAGUUCCAAUUUUCGCCAUCUGUUCUGAGCUUUGUUCCUUAGUGAAACCCUAAGUCCUAGCACUCUGGUAGCUGGUCUUCAUAUAGUCCUGAUUUUUUGAACCUUUGACUGCUUUGAUUCCGCGAAUUUCUUGGGUCCUUCGGUGUAUCCGGGGAUCUCUGCUGGGAAUUUGUGAUUUUUUUGAUCGGAUGAAUUCAGUUCGCAUCAUAUACGGAUUACUUGGAUCUUUUCCAGGUAUUUGACCUUUUGGAAACAGAUUCUUGAAUGCUUCAACUGGAAAAUAAAAAUAAAAAUGGCUUUUAAGUGAAAAGGCAGUCAAAGAUUGAACUGGGUGUUUCUUGUUUGCUUCUCGGGGAAGUGACAAUCACGAGGACGGUCAAAUUUCGUGCUUUCAAGCUUGAUGGAUCUCUAAAUCUAGGAUUCUAAAUCUAAGACCUUGCACUUAAGCCUUGCUUAUUUAAAUGAAUUCUGCAGGAAUUGGGAACUGAGUACCUAGUCAGGCCUGUGGGUCGUCCUGAGGAUGAGGAGGAUGCAAGUGACUUCGAGCCUGAGGAGAAUGGCGAGGAGGAAGACGCUGACGAAGAGGACGAGGAUGAAGACGAGGACGAUGCUGGUGGUAAGGUCGAGCCUCCGCCAAAGAGGAAGCGAUCGGACAAGGACAACUCUGACGACGACGAU